This 768-nucleotide ribosomal RNA is filed under the name Salmonella enterica subsp. enterica serovar Lille. RNAcentral's name for it is "partial 23S ribosomal RNA". It matches the Rfam family "Bacterial large subunit ribosomal RNA", at positions 711 to 1394 of the family's 2925-position model. The record is from RNAcentral. RNAcentral also lists the same sequence under 1 other name. Lineage: Bacteria; Pseudomonadati; Pseudomonadota; Gammaproteobacteria; Enterobacterales; Enterobacteriaceae.
AGACCCGAAACCCGGUGAUCUAGCCAUGGGCAGGUUGAAGGUUGGGUAACACUAACUGGAGGACCGAACCGACUAAUGUUGAAAAAUUAGCGGAUGACCUGUGGCUGGGGGUGAAAGGCCAAUCAAACCGGGAGAUAGCUGGUUCUCCCCGAAAGCUAUUUAGGUAGCGCCUCGUGAAUUCAUCUCCGGGGGUAGAGCACUGUUUCGGCUAGGGGGCCAUCCCGGCUUACCAACCCGAUGCAAACUGCGAAUACCGGAGAAUGUUAUCACGGGAGACACACGGCGGGUGCUAACGUCCGUCGUGAAGAGGGAAACAACCCAGACCGCCAGCUAAGGUCCCAAAGUCAUGGUUAAGUGGGAAACGAUGUGGGAAGGCCCAGACAGCCAGGAUGUUGGCUUAGAAGCAGCCAUCAUUUAAAGAAAGCGUAAUAGCUCACUGGUCGAGUCGGCCUGCGCGGAAGAUGUAACGGGGCUAAACCAUGCACCGAAGCUGCGGCAGCGAACGUAUCACUUAAAGCGAUUCAGCGGGUUACGAUUGACGGAGCGAAGCGACGUCAAAGCGUAUACAAAGUCGAGUCGGUUUAAGGAUACGUUCGUUGGGUAGGGGAGCGUUCUGUAAGCCUGUGAAGGUGGCCUGUGAGGGUUGCUGGAGGUAUCAGAAGUGCGAAUGCUGACAUAAGUAACGAUAAAGCGGGUGAAAAGCCCGCUCGCCGGAAGACCAAGGGUUCCUGUCCAACGUUAAUCGGGGCAGGGUGAGUCGACCCCUAA